Molecule: long non-coding RNA, 512 nt
Filed under: Oryza brachyantha (malo sina)
Lineage: Eukaryota; Viridiplantae; Streptophyta; Magnoliopsida; Poales; Poaceae
Description: long non-coding RNA (OBRA_LNC002572)
Source: RNAcentral
AGCAGCAGUACCAAUAAAAAGUUAAAAAGAAGAAGAAAUAAAAAGAAAAGAGGAAGAAGAAAGUUUUGAAAGCCUCAAUUACUGAAUUUUGUCCUAACAAAACUUUUUGGCAGCAGCAGCAGCGUGGGGGCCGUGCAACGCCGCCGCAUCUAAAUCGCCCGAUGAAUCAAUCUGGAGGGGGGCGCGUCCUCGUUGAUCGUCUUCCUCCGCCGAAUCACGGGAGGAGAGAGAGGAAUCCAGCGUUUCAGCGGUGCGCCGUGACGAGCGUCUCGAUGAAGCGGAGGCCGUCGAACCGCGGCGCGAACUUCUUGCCCUCCACCCGCUCCCCCGCCGGCGCCCGCUCCGCAUCCCUCGAUCCCUGCACGACGGCGGCCGAACCAAACCAAGGGGAAAGGAAGACGGUGAGGACCAGAUCAGAGGAGAUCGAGAGAAAAGGAAGGGGAAGGGGAAGGGGGGGGAUUCCCCGGGGGCGAACCUGGCUGUGUCGGAGGCGGAAGGCGUCGCACCGCCCG